This 637-nucleotide ribosomal RNA is filed under the name Vibrio sp. Its description in RNAcentral is "bacterial SSU rRNA". It matches the Rfam family "Bacterial small subunit ribosomal RNA", at positions 141 to 774 of the family's 1533-position model. Lineage: Bacteria; Pseudomonadati; Pseudomonadota; Gammaproteobacteria; Vibrionales; Vibrionaceae. The record is from RNAcentral.
GGAUAACCAUUGGAAACGAUGGCUAAUACCGCNUAAUGCCUACGGNNNNNNNNGGGGACCUUCGGGCCUCUCGCGUCAAGAUAUGCCUAGGUGGGAUUAGCUAGUUGGUGAGGUAAUGGCUCACCAAGGCGACGAUCCCUAGCUGGUCUGAGAGGAUGAUCAGCCACACUGGAACUGAGACACGGUCCAGACUCCUACGGGAGGCAGCAGUGGGGAAUAUUGCACAAUGGGCGAAAGCCUGAUGCAGCCAUGCCGCGUGUAUGAAGAAGGCCUUCGGGUUGUAAAGUACUUUCAGUUGUGAGGAAGGGGGUAGCGUUAAUAGCGCUAUCUCUUGACGUUAGCAACAGAAGAAGCACCGGCUAACUCCGUGCCAGCAGCCGCGGUAAUACGGAGGGUGCGAGCGUUAAUCGGAAUUACUGGGCGUAAAGCGCAUGCAGGUGGUUCAUUAAGUCAGAUGUGAAAGCCCGGGGCUCAACCUCGGAACUGCAUUUGAAACUGGUGAACUAGAGUACUGUAGAGGGGGGUAGAAUUUCAGGUGUAGCGGUGAAAUGCGUAGAGAUCUGAAGGAAUACCAGUGGCGAAGGCGGCCCCCUGGACAGAUACUGACACUCAGAUGCGAAAGCGUGGGGAGCAAACA